Long non-coding RNA from Hibiscus syriacus, 156 nucleotides. RefSeq lists it as uncharacterized. The record is from RefSeq and is a predicted model, not a curated record. Lineage: Eukaryota; Viridiplantae; Streptophyta; Magnoliopsida; Malvales; Malvaceae. The transcript is spliced from 2 exons.
GCCUGUCAAACAACUGUUGGUAAACCAGAUUAAAGGGGCAUGCUGGUGAUUCAACAACUGCCCGAGUGGAAAGCGCAUGAAUGGACUUCCGAGAAAAAAUUACGUUCAGAGGAGCCUUAAGCAGCUGCAUCUUUGUGUCUGCAGUUACUGUACAAA